CAGCACAAAUUGACUACCUUGCCCAGCAACACCUUGACAGAAUGGUACAUAUAUUGGAUGAGGAAUACAGCAGCAAUAUGUUCAUUGUAAAGAGGUGUUCAUUCUUUUUGGUUGGCUUUGGAAAGAAAUGGAAACUGGACUGAAAAUUCACAAAGGGUGCUUUAAAAGCCCCUGCCUCCUUGACCACAUCUUCCCUCUUCCCUGCAAACGUGGUCAAACCCAAAGACAGGAACAUCAUACUCCACACCAUCCUGCAGCGUAAUGGGAACAUGACAUCUGGACUUCUUCAGGAUGAGUCGCACACUUUUCCUCCUUUCUAAUUCUGCAGAGACUUGGCACCUCUGUGUGAUGAAAUCCAAAUGCUGGCUGUGGUUACAGGGCUGAGCAAAACACAGAGCAGAUGAAGAGAUACAGAUAUGUCUGCAAUUGCAAGAAACAGUCUCCAGACAGUCUCCUUAUCCCCUCAGUGGCAAAUCAACACUUACAAAAAAAUUGUCCAGAAGAAGCAGACAAGUGG
Molecule: non-coding RNA, 517 nt
Organism: Struthio camelus australis
Lineage: Eukaryota; Metazoa; Chordata; Aves; Struthioniformes; Struthionidae
Source: RefSeq, a predicted model, not a curated record